This 486-nucleotide ribosomal RNA is filed under the name uncultured bacterium. RNAcentral's name for it is "SSU rRNA". It matches the Rfam family "Bacterial small subunit ribosomal RNA", at positions 26 to 521 of the family's 1533-position model. The record is from RNAcentral.
AGGAUAAACGCUGGCGGCGUGCCUAACACAUGCAAGUCGAACGCGCUUACUAUCCGCGAGGAGGGUGAGCGAGUGGCGGACGGGUGAGGAACACGUGGGUGACCUACCUUUCAGUGAGGGAUACCGGCGAGAAAUUGCCGACAAGACCGCAUACGCUUCUCUCUUCAAGGGGAGAAGGAAAGCUUUUCGCAAGAGAGGCGCUGGGAGAUGGGCCUGCGGCCGAUUAGCUAGCUGGUGGGGUAAUGGCCUACCAGGGCGACGAUCGGUAGCUGGUCUGAGAGGACGAUCAGCCACACUGGGAUUGAGAACGGCCCAGACUCCUACGGGGGGCAGCAGUGAGGAAUUUUCGGCAAUGGGGGCAACCCUGACCGAGCAACGCCGCGUGCAGGACGACGGCCUUCGGGUUGUAAACUGCUUUUCUCUGGGACGAGCAAGGACGGUACCAGAGGAAGAAGCCCCGGCUAACUACGCGCCAGCAGCCGCGGU